GACGAACGCUGGCGGCGUGCUUAACACAUGCAAGUCGAACGGAAAGGCCCUGCUUGCAGGGUGCUCGAGUGGCGAACGGGUGAGUAACACGUGGGUGAUCUGCCCCUUACUUUGGGAUAAGCCUGGGAAACUGGGUCUAAUACUGGAUAGGACCAUGCUGUAGGUGGUGUGGUGGAAAGAUUAGUUUCGGUAAGGGAUGAGCUCGCGGCCUAUCAGCUUGUUGGUGGGGUAAUGGCCUACCAAGGCGUCGACGGGUAGCCGGCCUGAGAGGGUGGACGGCACAUUGGGACUGGGAUACGGGCCAGACGCCUGCGGGAGGGAGGCAGGGGGGAUAAUUGCACAAGGGGGGCAGGCCGGUGCAACGACGGCGGGUGGGGGAUGACGGCCUUCGGGUUGUAAACUCCUUUCAGCCAUGACGAAGCCCUUGUGGUGACGGUAGUGGUAGAAGAAGCACCGGCUAACUACGUG
This 468-nucleotide ribosomal RNA is filed under the name uncultured bacterium. RNAcentral describes it as "partial 16S ribosomal RNA". It matches the Rfam family "Bacterial small subunit ribosomal RNA", at positions 28 to 507 of the family's 1533-position model. The record is from RNAcentral.